This 1011-nucleotide long non-coding RNA is filed under the name Oryctolagus cuniculus (rabbit). Its description in RNAcentral is "lncRNA (ENSOCUG00000037005.1)". Lineage: Eukaryota; Metazoa; Chordata; Mammalia; Lagomorpha; Leporidae. The record is from RNAcentral.
AUGGGGUGGGGGGCUCUGGGCGGGAGAAGAUGGACGGAGGGCGAGAGGGAAGCCGGAGAGAAGAGCGCGCGGGGAGGAAGGGGCGCGCCGAGGGGGAGUGGGCGGGAGUUGCGCGAUGCACGGAGGAAUCCCGGGAAGUUGGGCCGGGCUGGGGGCUGCGGACAGUCGCUCUGGGGGGGCGCCCCUCCGCAGUCGCCGUUCCGGAAGUUGGGAAAGACCGGCGAGCCCCGGGAAACUGGGGGCUGGGAGGUGAGAGAGGCGGAGAAGGCGGGACACGCGGGCGGGAGGAGUCGGGUGGUGAGAGGCCGCCCCCUUCCCCACUGGGAGAACUGCAUUGCCCCCCGCGGGGGUCGGCGGGCGCGGGUCUCGAGGUCAGCGUUGCGGGCUCCGGGAGUGGCAAGGACCCGAGGAGGAGCGGGUGCUCCCUCCUGCCCUCGCCCUUCUGGCCCUCAGCUUGGGGGUUCACCAGGCCUAGUCCGGAGACCUCGGCCAUGCUCCGGGCAUGGCCGGGUGGGGAUCCGGAGCGGCCCAGGCUGCAGGGCCGGGCUCCGGCGGCGGAUCCGAGGCUGCAAACGCAGGGUCUGUCGAAGCAGGGUUAUGCGCGCAAAAAGCCAGCCGGAGGGCGCCCUGGAGGAGCUGUCCGCGGUUCUAGAAGGGCCUCCAAGAACAGCUUCUUCUGGGACCUUCGUCCCCGCUGGAUCAGAACGCGAGGGGCGUAGGAGGCAGUCCCUCCCCCUGCCCCCACAGGAAGAGGAAGCGCGGGAGAUGGGAGGGAAGAGAGCAGGGGCCGAGCCCCGCGCGCUGGGAGGGGAGCGUCGCGGCCAUCGCCGCUGCCAGCCAGCCAAGGCCCCGGGCCUGAGCAGUCCUCCUUGGCGCAGGACAGCCUGCUUGGUUCGGCUCCACUCAGCAGGGGAUGCACAUGGCAGAAAGGAGGCACACUGCAUUCUGGAGUCGGGGUGGGGAUACUGCCCUCUCCGGGAACUCUCAGACUCCUGGGAUGGGACUUACUAG